RNAcentral lists this ribosomal RNA (239 nucleotides) under uncultured bacterium. RNAcentral's name for it is "partial 16S ribosomal RNA". It matches the Rfam family "Bacterial small subunit ribosomal RNA", at positions 15 to 244 of the family's 1533-position model. The record is from RNAcentral.
GAUCAUGGCUCAGGAUGAACGCUAGCUACAGGCUUAACACAUGCAAGUCGAGGGGAAACGAUAGAGAGAGCUUGCUUUUUCUAGGCGUCGCCGGCGCACGGGUGAGUAACGCGUAUCCAACCUGCCCACCACUUGGGGAUAACCUUGCGAAAGUAAGACUAAUACCCAACGAUAUCUCUAGAAGACAUCUGAAAGGGAUUAAAGAUUUAUCGGUGAUGGAUGGGGAUGCGUCUGAUUAG